Molecule: long non-coding RNA, 1239 nt
Filed under: Mus spicilegus (steppe mouse)
Lineage: Eukaryota; Metazoa; Chordata; Mammalia; Rodentia; Muridae
Description: lncRNA (ENSMSIG00000022041.1)
Source: RNAcentral
GGCCAGAACAACUGAAAGGCUGGGAGCUGUCCUGCUGUCUUCUUUGUCCUUGCUGCCAUGUCUCAUGAUAUGGGUGAACUCUGUGUGGGUGAAGUUGCCUUUCUUACGAAGGGGUGCCUCGUACUACAUCUUGUCCCCUCUUUGUGUCGGAAGCUGUUGCCCAUGGUAACAAGUGUCUCUUUUAGGACAGUCCUUGUGGAUGAAACCUGAGGCCUUCCUCAUCAAAACAGGGGAAGCUGUUGGGGAUCAUGUACCGACUGCACGCCUGCUUAGCUUGUCCGAAGAAAGUAACAUGGAGAGGCUGGCGGCCCUGAGGCUUCACUGAUCAUGCCCUCCAGCUGCUCCUCCACCGUGUUCGUCCCUAGAGAGGCAAAUGUGGCUUCCCUUCAGAAUUCGUUUGAGGAGUAUUCUAGAAGACUAUCUCACCUCUAUUUUUCGUCAGAAAACACAGAGAAAAAAAUGAAAAGAGUUUCCUCGUUUAGUCCUCUGACAACCUCCAUUAGACAGACAACACCACUGAGCAGAGGCCUGGGAACCUGGGCAUCCUUCUGAGUUGUGCAAGUGCUGAGCCCAACACUCUGACUCUGCGUAUGACCCAGCUGCGCGUGCUCCAGUGGUUGCCUCCAGUGCCGUGCGCUGCAGGAACUACAGAGCUCUGGCCAUCCUCAUGGGGAACACAGGCUGGCUUGGAACAGGAUAUGUGUGAACUGUGCUACCCCCAACCCCCAGUUAUAGCAAUACAAACAUUACCUGCACUCUGAGGAAGUUCCUGCCCCCACCUCUUCUCUACUCUCCAUGAGUUAGUGAAACAAAUGUCAUUCGUCUUCCUCUCGUCCUUCAGAGGCAGGCCCUCAGUGCUGAUUUUCGGAAAGAGAAAAUGUUGACACCCCAAAAAGAGGCCUGGCUGGGACCAAGGAAGGGAGGCAGAAAGCUGGCGCCGCCUAGAGGACGAACUUGGCAAGAGGUACUAUGGUUGAAAUGUGAAUGGCCCCCACAGAGUCUCAUGUUUUACUAAUUGGUUUCUAGCUGGUGAUAUAUUUUGGAAAGUUGUAGAACCACACUGGUGUCGGGCAUUUGAGGUCUUCUGGUCUGGCCCGAAUUCCUUCCAACCCUCUGUUUCCUGAUCUGCAGGGAUGUGAGCGAGCGGAAGCAGCUUGCUCCCGUGUCCCAAGGAUGCCUGCCACCCUGCCUUCCCCACUGUGACAGGCUGUAUCCCUCAAGCCAUUAGCUAAAAUAAAC